Molecule: ribosomal RNA, 258 nt
Filed under: uncultured soil bacterium
Lineage: Bacteria
Description: partial 16S ribosomal RNA
Rfam family: Bacterial small subunit ribosomal RNA
Source: RNAcentral
AGGACGAACGCUGGCGGCGUGCUUAACACAUGCAAGUCGAGCGGAGCGUCUACGUUCGGGAGAUGUCCUAGCGGCGAACGGGUGAGUAACACGUGGGCAACCUGCCUCUAGCUCUGGGAUAACUCCGGGAAACCGGGGCUAAUACCGGAUACGACCUCGAGCGGCAUCUAUCGAGGUGGAAAGUUUUUCGGCUAGAGAUGGGCCCGCGGCCUAUCAGCUUGUUGGUGAGGUAACGGCCCACCAAGGCGACGACGGGUA